RNAcentral lists this ribosomal RNA (216 nucleotides) under Glomeromycotina sp. RNAcentral's name for it is "partial small subunit ribosomal RNA". The stretch from base 40 to 216 matches the Rfam family "Eukaryotic small subunit ribosomal RNA", at positions 686 to 864 of the family's 1831-position model. The record is from RNAcentral. Lineage: Eukaryota; Fungi; Glomeromycota.
GGGUCAGUAGGUUGGUCGUGCCACCGGUACGUACUGGUCUCACUGAUUCCUCCUUCCUGAAGAACCGUAAUGCCAUUAAUUUGGUGUUGCGGGGAAACAGGACUGUUACUUUGAAAAAAUUAGAGUGUUUAACGCAAGCUAACGCUUGAAUACAUUAGCAUGGAAUAAUGAAAUAGGACGAUCGAUCCUAUUUUGUUGGUUUCUAGGAUUGACGUA